AGCCUGAACGCUGGCGGCGUGGCUAAGACAUGCAAGUCGUACGGACCCGCAAGGGUCAGUGGCGCACGGGUGAGUAAUGAAUCGCUAACGUAUCCCGGACUCAGGGAUAGCUGUCCGAAAGGGCAGGUAAUACCUGAUGAUAUAACCUUGUCGCAUGACUGGGUUCUCAAAGGUCCGCC
RNAcentral lists this ribosomal RNA (179 nucleotides) under uncultured soil bacterium. RNAcentral's name for it is "partial 16S ribosomal RNA". It matches the Rfam family "Bacterial small subunit ribosomal RNA", at positions 26 to 216 of the family's 1533-position model. The record is from RNAcentral.